Molecule: non-coding RNA, 76 nt
Organism: Podarcis lilfordi (Lilford's wall lizard)
Lineage: Eukaryota; Metazoa; Chordata; Lepidosauria; Squamata; Lacertidae
Source: the annotation of a GenBank genome assembly
UUUCAGAUAGCCCAUUUGGCAAAUCAUGAGACUCUUAAUUUCAGGGUUGUGGGUUCAAGCCCCACGUUGGGCAAAA